UUUACAUGAUGACUCAUAACAGUUCUGCUUCUGAAUUAAUUUUGAAGAAAGCUAUACCCACAACCCUGACCU
Molecule: small nucleolar RNA, 72 nt
Organism: Galleria mellonella (greater wax moth)
Lineage: Eukaryota; Metazoa; Arthropoda; Insecta; Lepidoptera; Pyralidae
Source: RefSeq, a predicted model, not a curated record